Molecule: ribosomal RNA, 459 nt
Filed under: uncultured bacterium
Lineage: Bacteria
Description: partial 16S ribosomal RNA
Rfam family: Bacterial small subunit ribosomal RNA
Source: RNAcentral
CCUACGGGUGGCAGCAGUGAGGAAUAUUGGUCAAUGGCCGAAAGGCUGAACCAGCCAAGUCGCGUGAGGGAAGACGGCCCUACGGGUUGUAAACCUCUUUUGUCGGGGAGCAAAGCGAACCACGUGUGCUUCAUUGAGCGUACCCGAAGAAAAAGCAUCGGCUAACUCCGUGCCAGCAGCCGCGGUAAUACGGAGGAUGCGAGCGUUAUCCGGAUUUAUUGGGUUUAAAGGGUGCGCAGGCGGAGGUGCAAGUCAGCGGUCAAAUUGCGGGGCUCAACCCCGUACUGCCGUUGAAACUGCAUGUCUGGAGUGGGCGAGAAGUAUGCGGAAUGCGUGGUGUAGCGGUGAAAUGCAUAGAUAUCACGCAGAACUCCGAUUGCGAAGGCAGCAUACCGGCGCGCAACUGACGCUCAGGCACGAAAGCGUGGGUAUCGAACAGGAUUAGAUACCCCUGUAGUC